Molecule: ribosomal RNA, 506 nt
Filed under: uncultured bacterium
Lineage: Bacteria
Description: partial 16S ribosomal RNA
Rfam family: Bacterial small subunit ribosomal RNA
Source: RNAcentral
AGUGAACGCUGGCGGUAGGCCUAACACAUGCAAGUCGAACGGCAGCACAGGAGAGCUUGCUCUCUGGGUGGCGAGUGGCGGACGGGUGAGGAAUACAUCGGAAUCUACUUUUUCGUGGGGGAUAACGUAGGGAAACUUACGCUAAUACCGCAUACGACCUACGGGUGAAAGCAGGGGAUCUUCGGACCUUGCGCGGUUGAAUGAGCCGAUGUCGGAUUAGCUAGUUGGCGGGGUAAAGGCCCACCAAGGCGACGAUCCGUAGCUGGUCUGAGAGGAUGAUCAGCCACACUGGAACUGAGACACGGUCCAGACUCCGACGGGAGGCAGUAGUGGGGAAUAUUGGACAAUGGGCGCAAGCCUGAUCCAGCCAUACCGCGUGGGUGAAGAAGGCCUUCGGGUUGUAAAGCCCUUUUGUUGGGAAAGAAAUCCAGCUGGUUAAUACCCGGUUGGGAUGACGGUACCCAAAGAAUAAGCACCGGCUAACUUCGUGCCAGCAGCCGCCGUAA